This 3133-nucleotide long non-coding RNA is filed under the name Vitis vinifera (wine grape). RNAcentral describes it as "long non-coding RNA (VVIN_LNC002685)". Lineage: Eukaryota; Viridiplantae; Streptophyta; Magnoliopsida; Vitales; Vitaceae. The record is from RNAcentral.
AACGUUUCCACACCAAACACAACUUUAGAGCAAAUAAGGAGAACAAGUAAAAUAAAAUUGAUUUGGAAUUUAUCUUAAAAGGGUUGAUUUCAAAGAAAUUUAGAAGUUUUCCAACUAAGAAAACGAGUGAGAAAGCAUGUUCUAGAGAAAGGCGCGACACGUGCCAAUUGUCGGUGAGCUGUUUCCAUUCACAGUGGGGUCCACACGCCCCUCCAAAACUACUAUAUAUAAGAUUCACCCCUUCACUAUAUCUAUCAAGAAGCACUCGGCCUUCUCUCUUGCUUUAUUUUUCUCUUUUUAGUUCAUAACUGGUGUGCGCUUCUGUAUCCUUCGCUAAUGGCGCAAGUUAGCAUCGUCAGAGCCUUGAUGCUCGUCUUCGUGGUCGCGAUCUUCUCCGCGGCCGCUACAGUUUCCACGCAAGAUGUUUCUCCGGCGCCGGCUCCGUCUCCAGACGCCGGAUCAGCGUUCUCUGUACCUUUCCCGUACGCUGUGAUUGCCUCCUCUCUCAUCUUGUCUCUUUUCGCUCUCUUGAAGCCUUGAGUCACGAUCUAUAAUACAUUUGUAGUUUGCAUCUAGAUGAUCUUGCAGAGUCAUUGUAUCGAAUUCCUUAUUUUUUAUUUAUUUAUCACAUAUAAAUGAAUAAAUUUAUAUUUGGCCCAAAUCAUUUGGAUAGCUUGAUUCAUCUGACAUUUUUCAUUCGGACAAAAAAAAAAAACGAAGGUAGGGAGAAACAGGAGGAAGUAGUAUUUGUAUGUCCUAUCUACAGAAAAAGAAAGGAAAAUUGAAUAUGAAUAAUUUUAAUUCUGGUAUCAAAAUCAAUAAAUGUUAUAAAAUUAUUAAGUUUUUAGGAAGAUAUCGUGCAUGUAGACUAGGAUGGCCUUUCAAUUUUUAGGAUUUCAUUCCUAACACGUUUUUAAAUGACCGGUAAAUUCAAGAUGAAUGAAUAUAACAUUCUAAAUAUCUAAUAUUUUCAAAUUGAUGACAAAUAUUAAUAUUUGUCGCAAAUCUCUCUAUAUAAGUGCAAUAUUUUUUAUAUAAUGAAUUAUAGAAAUAAAUAAAUAAUAAAAAAAUAAAUAAUAAAUUUAAAAUCAAUAAUUUAUUUUAAUAUAUUAUUUUAAAUUCAUUUAAAUUAUUUUAACUUAGCAUCGAUAAUGUAUAAAUUUUAAAUCAGUUUUAAUUAUAUUUAUUUUUUUAAAUAUUUUUUAUAUAAUUAAAUAUAAGAAAAUAAUUUUUAAAUUUUUUUUUAUUUCAAGUUAUCUCGUGAAUUCACCGAUAAAAACUGAAACAAUAUUUUAAAAUAAUAAUAGUGUUUUAGUAAAAUAAAAUAAUUAAUAAUGUUAUAUAUUUAAUAUUUUUAAAAUUUAAAAAUAAAUCAAAUAAGUAUUUUUAUAUAAAAUAACCAAAUAUCAUAAUUGCCCAAUUUAAUGGAAUAGACACAUCCAAGCCCACCCUGAAUACUAAGUUUGGGUCGUGGUGUAAGAAAUAGGAAUAAUAUAAGUUGCAUUCCUAAUUUUCCUUAUUUGAUUAUUUAAAUUAAUGAAAAUUUAUUUUUAUUAAUUUUAGAUUUUUAGUUUAUUAUUUUUAAAGUAUGUUUGAAAGUAAAUAUAAAAAACGUUUUUAAUAUUUUUAAUAUUUAAAUAAAAUUAUUUUUUUAAGUAUUAAAAAUAUUAAAAGCGUUUUUUUUUUUGUCAUUAUCAAAUCGGAUGUUAAUAUUUUAUAAGAAUAUGCGCAUGCCAGGUUGGCGUUUGGUAAGUCUGGUGACCGAUCAACAGCUGUUAGCGUUGAGGUGGGGUCUACGCUCCCCUCUUCAACCACGCUACGCAUUCCAUCCCCUCUGAUACACCUCCACACACUCCUGACUCCCCUUCGUCUCCUCUUCGUCCUGUCUGGCUCGUAGAUCAUGUAGGAAUCUAAACGAAAAUCCCAUAGGUUUAAUAAAUAUUAUAUUUAUAAAAUUAUUUCUAAAUCUACAAUAUUUUCAAAAAAUCGAAUUAAUAAUUAUCUUUUAUCAAACAACUUGAAUUAAAAUUUGAAAAAGAUAAUUUUCAUAUUUAAACUGAAAUUAUGUUUCGAAAAGAUAACCUUCAAUUGUUAUUAAAAAAAAUAAUGUUUCAACAUUGGAGAGUUUACCGUCACUGCUCUACCACCAAGCCAUGGAUCACAUUCUUCGUAUCCCUCUCCAAAGCUAUUUUUACCUCUCAUCUUUUCUCUUCUCUGUUCCCUUGAAUCACUGAGUAUGUAUAGAGAUUUACUUUGCUGUUACCUCCUCACUCACUUUUCUCUUCUCUGUUCCCUUGAAUCACUGAGUAUGCAUAGAGAUUUACUUUGCUGUUACCUCCUCUCUCACUUUUCUCUUCUCGCCCUCUUGAAUUAGUGAGUACCCAUAGAAAUUUUCUUUCUUGCUGACUCCUCUCUUCUCUUUUCGCUCUGUCGAAAGAGUGGGUAUGCACUAUGCAUAGAGUUUUACUUUGUUGUUGCCUCCCCUCUCUCGACUCUCAUCUUCCCUUCUUGCUCUCUUGAAUCACUGGGUAUCCACAGAUAUUUACACUGUCGGAUCGUAUUGAAUUUAUUCUUCCUUAUUUAAUAAACAAUCGUCUAAAUGAAAACAUGAACAGUUAAUGUUCGUAUGGUUAGAUUAAAAAGGCCCCUCAAAACCCCAUUUUUAAAAUUUAAUCUCCCACCAUUUUUUUGGCAUCAUAAAAAUAUUCCCAUUAUUUUCUUGUAAAAAUAAUUAUUUUUUUUAAAACCUACAUGCAAAUACUUAAAAUAAAAAAUGAUAUUUAUAUCAAAAAAUAAAUUAUUUUUUCAGAAAAAACAUGAAAAAGAGUUAGAUUUUCGAUUUUGGGAAAUAUUUUAUCACUUUUAACCAAAUAUUUCUAAAAUCAUUUCUUUUUUGCUGCUUUUUUUUUUUUUUUUUCGAAUAUUUAUACAAAUUUUAGUUUUUUGUUACACGUACAAAUGGUGUAAAAGCCCUCAGACCACAUUUCUUUCCGAUUUGGUGCAGGGUUGAGUAAAUAUUUCAGGAAGGAGUCCCCUUGGAUUCUUGAACGUCCAACUCAUGCUCUGCUACCAUGAUGCAUGAGUCAGCUUCCAGAGAUGAGGCUGAGCUUUUAUCCUUCAACAAUGAUUCUUU